Molecule: ribosomal RNA, 465 nt
Filed under: Vreelandella stevensii
Lineage: Bacteria; Pseudomonadati; Pseudomonadota; Gammaproteobacteria; Oceanospirillales; Halomonadaceae
Description: partial 16S ribosomal RNA
Rfam family: Bacterial small subunit ribosomal RNA
Source: RNAcentral
CCUACGGGGGGCUGCAGUGGGGAAUAUUGGACAAUGGGCGAAAGCCUGAUCCAGCCAUGCCGCGUGUGUGAAGAAGGCCUUCGGGUUGUAAAGCACUUUCAGUGGGGAAGAAAGCCUUGGGGCUAAUACCCUCGAGGAAGGACAUCACCCACAGAAGAAGCACCGGCUAACUCCGUGCCAGCAGCCGCGGUAAUACGGAGGGUGCGAGCGUUAAUCGGAAUUACUGGGCGUAAAGCGCGCGUAGGUGGUCUGAUAAGCCGGUUGUGAAAGCCCCGGGCUCAACCUGGGAACGGCAUCCGGAACUGUCAGGCUAGAGUGCAGGAGAGGAAGGUAGAAUUCCCGGUGUAGCGGUGAAAUGCGUAGAGAUCGGGAGGAAUACCAGUGGCGAAGGCGGCCUUCUGGACUGACACUGACGCUGAGGUGCGAAAGCGUGGGUAGCAAACAGGAUUAGAUACCCCAGUAGUC